Molecule: ribosomal RNA, 195 nt
Filed under: uncultured bacterium
Lineage: Bacteria
Description: partial 16S ribosomal RNA
Rfam family: Bacterial small subunit ribosomal RNA
Source: RNAcentral
GAAAUUACGCCUUCCAUGAAGCCGGAAUUGCUAGUAAUGGCAGGUCAGCAUACUGCCGUGAAUACGUUCCCGGGCCUUGUACACACCGCCCGUCACACCAUGAGAGUUGGGGAUACCCGAAGCCUGUGAGCUAACGUUAAGAGGCAGCAGUCGAAGGUAGAAUCAAUGAUUGGGGUGAAGUCGUAACAAGGUACC